GUGAGGAAUAUUGCGCAAUGGAGGCAACUCUGACGCAGCCAUGCCGCGUGCAGGAAGAAGGCGCUACGCGUUGUAAACUGCUUUUAACCGGGAAGAAACCCCAGGACGUGUCCUGGGUUGACGGUACCGGAGGAAUAAGCACCGGCUAACUUCGUGCCAGCAGCCGCGGUAAUACGAAGGGUGCAAGCGUUAUCCGGAUUCAUUGGGUUUAAAGGGUGCGUAGGCGGGGCCGUAAGUCAGUGGUGAAAUCCUGCAGCUUAACUGUAGAAUUGCCAUUGAUACUGCGGUUCUUGAGUACGCUUGAUGUGGGCGGAAUGUGCCGUGUAGCGGUGAAAUGCUUAGAUAUGGCACAGAACACCGAUCGCGAAGGCAGCUCACAAAGGCGAAACUGACGCUGAGGCACGAAAGCGUGGGGAUCGAACAGGAUUAGAUACCCGAGUAGUCC
This 445-nucleotide ribosomal RNA is filed under the name uncultured bacterium. RNAcentral's name for it is "bacterial SSU rRNA". It matches the Rfam family "Bacterial small subunit ribosomal RNA", at positions 354 to 796 of the family's 1533-position model. The record is from RNAcentral.